GCCUGGGUGGCUUCGUCGGUUAAGCGUCUGAUUUCAGCUCAGGUCAUGGUCUCACAGUUCGUGGGUUCAAGCCCCCCGUCAGGCU
Felis catus (domestic cat) is the source of this 85-nucleotide transfer RNA. It matches the Rfam family "tRNA". Rfam says of the family: Transfer RNA (tRNA) molecules are approximately 80 nucleotides in length. NCBI's taxonomy places the organism in Eukaryota, Metazoa, Chordata, Mammalia, Carnivora, Felidae. The record is from Rfam.